RNAcentral lists this long non-coding RNA (246 nucleotides) under Gossypium raimondii (Peruvian cotton). Its description in RNAcentral is "long non-coding RNA (GRAI_LNC009863)". Lineage: Eukaryota; Viridiplantae; Streptophyta; Magnoliopsida; Malvales; Malvaceae. The record is from RNAcentral.
GCGGAAGAGACAUGACGUGACGGAGGCGUGCGAGGGGCGGUGACAGAGGCUAGGUGCGCCGUUUGCGCUGACGGCGGCGUAAAAGUCAGAAGACCCUAGGAGUGACAGAGGUGGCUAGGGUUAGGGUUUCAACUUUUUCUGAAAAAUUUUAACAUUUUGGGCCAUUGGGCUUUCAUUUUUUUUGGGUUGUAAUUUUAAUUAUUUUUGGGCUUUUUGGUUUAUUUUUGUUUUUGGUUUCUAGUGGGC